This is a long non-coding RNA of Lemur catta (Ring-tailed lemur), 1417 nucleotides long. RefSeq lists it as uncharacterized. The record is from RefSeq and is a predicted model, not a curated record. The transcript is spliced from 3 exons. Lineage: Eukaryota; Metazoa; Chordata; Mammalia; Primates; Lemuridae.
AAGCAGGGCUCUUCAGCACCCUCUGCCUCACUCGGGCUUCCUGACCCAUUUCCCCUCCCGGCCACCUGCCCCUCACCUGGCACUCCUGCCACUCCUCGCUCCAGCCCCGUGCCUCCGGCCCGCACCUUAUGGGCACCACCUUCGCCCAGUGGCCCCACGGUGAACUGAAAGGGGCUGCCUGGCACGUGCUGGCCACGAUACUUGACAGUGACUGUGUGAGGCCCCAUCUCCUGGGGCACAAAGCGCACGCUGUAUGCACUGUCCUCCCCCUCCACGAUCUCUGCGGCUUCCAUCUUGCCUGAUGGGCUGGUCACCUGUGCAGUCAUGUCCUGAGAGCUGGCCUCACCUGUAGGGUUGGGGAUAUCAUGGCAACACUGGCACUCUUGCUGGGCCCAGCCCUUCCCUCCAUCCUGAGUAAAACCCCCUCCUCUGCUCAGACCAGGCCUGGCUGUCCGGGGCCUGGCCAACCGCACCGUCCCCUCCCACUUCCCUGUGAGGACCCCGGCCCCGGCCGGCGCUGUCUCUGCUCACCCUCUUGCCGGGUGAUGCUGCCAAAGGAGCCCAGGCGUUCCCGGCCCAGGAAGUCCCCGAAGACAGCGGGGAAGGGGUCCCCGCCAACCUGGGUGGACUCCUCCACCCGCACCUCACGCUUGGUCUCCCCGCCCCGUGUCUUGCUGAUCUCCGUGCGCUCCGUGCGGGUGUACGUGUGGCUGCUGCGCGUGAAGGUGCGCGUCAGGCGCUCCUGGGCAGAAACCAUCUGGAACCAGUUCCCUGUGUGACCGAGGAAGCGAGGGCUCCGCCAAGAAUGGGCCUCUGAUGUACAGUGACCACUAGCAAAAAUGCCUCAGUGGGGGCCUGGCAGGGAGCCAGGCACUGUCCCAGAGGGCCAUGGGACAGGCUGUCUGGAAAAUUCCCUAAGGUGAUCUCUGCCUUGGAUGGGCCCUCCACGGCCAGCGACAGACCCCCUGGAGAUGGAGGUGGAGCUGAGAUCAGAGGUCCUGCCCUUGCCCCUGCACCUGGCUAGACCCCACCCCAGCCCCUGCCUGCAACACCCCUUACCUUCCCCAGCAUCCUUGGUGACAAUGGUGAAGGUAGCUGGCUUGUUGACCAUGCCAUGGCUCAGGCCUGGCCCGUAGGCACUGACAUGGCGGCUGUUGAUGGCAUCCACGUAGAACUGCAGGGGGCUCCCUGGGGUAGACAGAGAAGGGAGAGCUGGGUCAGCAGAGGGACAAGGGGGUACCUGAGCCCACCUUGGCCUCCAGCACCUUCUAGCAGCCUCCCUGCUUAGCCCUCCUUGCUGAGCUGCGAGGACCUGGCUCCUCGAAGGACAUCUGCCUCUCACCAGGACAUAAGCCUCCCCAGGGCCUCACAUGGUGUCUGUACACAGCAGGUGCUCAAUAAAUAUUGAAAGAAGGCA